This 665-nucleotide ribosomal RNA is filed under the name uncultured bacterium. Its description in RNAcentral is "bacterial SSU rRNA". It matches the Rfam family "Bacterial small subunit ribosomal RNA", at positions 146 to 787 of the family's 1533-position model. The record is from RNAcentral.
ACAGACGGAAACGACUGCUAAUACCGAAUGUGUUCCGGAGACCGCAUGAUUUCCGGAAGAAAGGAUGGCCUCUAUUUAUAAGCUAUCGCCUGAAGAGGGGUUUGCGUCUGAUUAGGCAGUUGGUGAGGUAACGGCCCACCAAACCUACGAUCAGUAGCCGGUCUGAGAGGAUGAACGGCCACACUGGAACUGAGACACGGUCCAGACUCCUACGGGAGGCAGCAGUGGGGAAUCUUCCGCAAUGGACGAAAGUCUGACGGAGCAACGCCGCGUGAGUGAUGACGGCCUUCGGGUUGUAAAGCUCUGUGAUCGGGGACGAAUGGCUGGUAUGCUAAUACCAUAUCAGAGUGACGGUACCCGAAUAGCAAGCCACGGCUAACUACGUGCCAGCAGCCGCGGUAAUACGUAGGUGGCAAGCGUUGUCCGGAAUUAUUGGGCGUAAAGCGCGCGCAGGCGGCUUCUUAAGUCCAUCUUAAAAGUGCGGGGCUUAACCCCGUGAUGGGAUGGAAACUGGGAGGCUGGAGUAUCGGAGAGGAAAGUGGAAUUCCUAGUGUAGCGGUGAAAUGCGUAGAGAUUAGGAAGAACACCGGUGGCGAAGGCGACUUUCUGGACGACAACUGACGCUGAGGCGCGAAAGCGUGGGGAGCAAACAGGAUUAGAUACCC